GAUGAACGCUAGCGGCAGGCUUAACACAUGCAAGUCGAGGGGCAACACGGGUAGCAAUACCUGGUGGCGACCGGCGCAAGGGUGCGUAACGCGUGAGCAACAUGCCCUAUACAAGGGGAUAAUCCAGGGAAACUUGGUCUAAUAUCCCAUAGUAUUUAGAGGUGGCAUCACCACUAAAUUAAAGCUUCGGUGGUAUAGGAUUGGCUCGCGUGACAUUAGCUGGAUGGUGGGGUAACGGCUCACCAUGGCGAUGAUGUCUAGGGGUUCUGAGAGGAAGACCCCCCACACUGGGACUGAGACACGGCCCAGACUCCUACGGGAGGCAGCAGUGAGGAAUAUUGGACAAUGGAUGGAAAUCUGAUCCAGCCAUGCCGCGUGCAGGAAGACGGCCCUAUGGGUUGUAAACUGCUUUUAUAUGGGAGCAAUAAGGUUUACGCGUAGACCGAUGAGAGUACCAUAUGAAUAAGCAUCGGCUAACUCCG
This 482-nucleotide ribosomal RNA is filed under the name uncultured bacterium. RNAcentral describes it as "bacterial SSU rRNA". It matches the Rfam family "Bacterial small subunit ribosomal RNA", at positions 28 to 505 of the family's 1533-position model. The record is from RNAcentral.